Molecule: ribosomal RNA, 468 nt
Filed under: uncultured bacterium
Lineage: Bacteria
Description: partial 16S ribosomal RNA
Rfam family: Bacterial small subunit ribosomal RNA
Source: RNAcentral
GACGAACGCUGGCGGCGUGCUUAACACAUGCAAGUCGAACGGAAAGGCCCUGCUUUUGUGGGGUGCUCGAGUGGCGCACGGGGGAGUAACACGUGAGUAACCUGCCCUUGACUUUGGGAUAACUUCAGGAAACUGGGGCUAAUACCGGAUAGGAGCUCCUGCUGCAUGGUGGGGGUUGGAAAGUUUCGGCGGUGGGGGAUGGACUCGCGGCUUAUCAGCUUGUUUGUGGGGUAGUGGCUUACCAAGUCUUUGACGGGUAGGCCGCCUGAGAGGGUGACCGGCCACCAUGGGACUGAGAGACGGCCCAGACUGCUACGGGAGGCAGCAGUCGGGAACAUUGCAGAAUGGGCGGAAGCCUGUGGCAGCAGCCCCGCGUGCGGGAUGACGGCCUUCGGGGGGUAAACCGCUUUCGCCUGUGACGAAGCGUGAGUGACGGUACUGGGUAAAGAAGCACCGGCUAACUACGUG